This 148-nucleotide non-coding RNA is filed under the name Pan troglodytes (chimpanzee). The record is from Rfam by way of RNAcentral. Lineage: Eukaryota; Metazoa; Chordata; Mammalia; Primates; Hominidae.
GCCAGGCAUGGUGGCAUGUGCCUGUAGUCCCAGCUACUCAGGAGGCUGAGGUGGGAGAAUCACUUGAGCCCAGGAGGCCGAGGUUGCAGUGAGCUGAGAUCUUGCCACUGCACUCCAGCCUGGGCGACAGAGUGAGACUCUGUCUCCA